GGGGUGAUCAGUGUUGGCAACAUUAUGGUCAACAUGCAAGUUUAAUGCAAAAUAUUAAACACUUUACCACCACUAUAUAAAACUAAAAUUGAUCAUCUACAAUUAGAGAACAAAAUUGUUACACACAUAAAAAUCAAACAAACACAAUAGGAUUAUACUAUAAAAUAAAAUACACUAAAUCAUCGUAGCAAAUUAACAUAAGGAAAAACACAUGAAAACCAAAUCAAUAGAAAAAUAAUUACAACUUUCCCGCGCGGACAAACCCCUAGUAUCAAUCUAAAAAUAAGAAAGAUUGUAGAAAAACAUCUAGAAACUUGAUCUCACGAUUUGCGAACCUGUAAAAAAUCUUACCAAUUUCGUCAACAUCGAUGAUUGCUAUCUUUCGUAAGAAUCAGGAACCAACUCUCGCCCCCCUUUGUUAGAAGGAACCUCGAUACAUUUGCUUAGUUAGUAGAAAAUAUGCAGGGGAUCAACCUUGAAGUAACAUCACACGAAGUAAACGUCAAUCUUAUUUUCAAGCCCAUAAAAUAAAAAACAAAAAUUAAGACCCGAACAAACUAAAACAAUCAACAACGCGGUAAGCCCGCACGCAUAUAUAGGGGGACACCCGAACUGCGUCACCAAACU
RNAcentral lists this long non-coding RNA (627 nucleotides) under Brassica napus (rape). RNAcentral describes it as "long non-coding RNA (BNAP_LNC012357)". Lineage: Eukaryota; Viridiplantae; Streptophyta; Magnoliopsida; Brassicales; Brassicaceae. The record is from RNAcentral.